Molecule: ribosomal RNA, 293 nt
Filed under: uncultured Thermoprotei archaeon
Lineage: Archaea; Thermoproteati; Thermoproteota; Thermoprotei
Description: partial 16S ribosomal RNA
Rfam family: Archaeal small subunit ribosomal RNA
Source: RNAcentral
UAGUUGCUACCAUUACUCUCUGGAGCAGUGGAGCGAAUUAGACGGACCGCCACAGUUAAUGUGGAGGAAGGAAGGGGCCACGGCAGGUCAGUAUGCCCCGAAACCCUAGGGCUACACGCGGGCUGCAAUGGUAUUGACAAUGUGUUCCGAAUCCGAAAGGAGGAGGCAAUCAUCAAACAAUAUCUCAGUUAUGACUGAGGGCUGUAACUCGCCCUCACGAAUAUGGAAUCCCUAGUAACCGCGCGUCACUACCGCGCGGUGAAUACGUCCCUGCUCCUUGCACGAAUUCGCCG